Capsicum annuum is the source of this 107-nucleotide non-coding RNA. Lineage: Eukaryota; Viridiplantae; Streptophyta; Magnoliopsida; Solanales; Solanaceae. The record is from Rfam.
UAAUGAUGAUGGAGGUAAUCUUUUAGCAUACUUUUAAAUAUCUCCCAAACUUGGUAGAGAUUCUCUCUUAUUUUUUGUCUGAAACUCAGAAUCUCACUUCUCAAAUG